GUUGAAAAAGUAAGUACUAAUAUUUGAUAAGCAAUGGAAUCCAGUACCGUAUCUUCCGUCCUGCAGAAUAAUUUUAAAAACAAGAUUUUGCUACACAAGAUUUUUCAGAAUCUAUUACGAAGUUAUUAGAAGAGUUUUUGUUUAACAAGCCUUGGAAUGCUUUGGAAGACUAUCCAUGGAAAAUCACCCACUACCAAAAAUGGUUAUGAGAUAGUGAGAUGAACACCGUGGAAAUUAUAAUACAAUAAGUAUAUUCUACGUUAUGUAGCUAUAAAUGAUUUAAUAGAUUAAAUCAUUUUCAAUACUGUAUUUAAGGAUGCUUUCAAUUUUGUCCAAGAAGAGUAAUCAGAAGAGGAGAAGAACGAAUAAUUUAGUGGGUUGAAUGAUGGGAUGCUCAAUCAGCAUGAAAGAAGGUAAAGUCCAUUAAAAUGAUACAACAAAAAAACCAAGUGAGACAUGCUUGAUAAUGAUUUUUUCAAACUUUUGCUGAUUCUCAAUAAUUUUAAUAAUAAUAAUAAUAAUAAACAGAUCGUUUGUGAUGAGAAUUAUAUUUUUAAUGAUCAAUAAUUUCAAAUUUUUAUUUAUGAAUUUUCUAUUUUCAAUGAAUAAUUUUAAUUAGCAUAAUAAUAAACAGAUCGUUUGUAAUGAAUAAUUAUUAUUGUUGUUUUGACUCGUUUGACUAGUUUCAGGAUUAAAGAAGGAGAAAUGUUUUUUUUAAAGAGGUAGGCUGACAAUGAAUCUGAAGCUACCUUCAAAAUUGGCAGUUGAGGAUUACAGUAAGAUUCUUCAAUCCUUCUAUGUUCAAUAAUUGAUUAAUAUAUGUAUUAAACGUUUUUACAGAGGAAGCUUGAAAUCAUCAAUGAUGAAGGUAUGAAAGAAAUGUUUCAGAUUGGCCAUGGGAAUCAGCAUAAAAUAUGAAUGGGUAAUGAUGAUAGGUGUUAUGAUGGAACGAUCUAAAAUCCAUGCCCAAGGAGGGAUUCAAACCCACGAACUGAUUACUAAGUUUAUUUUGAGAUUAUCAAGGAAGUUAUUCAAUUCUCAAACGGGAUAAUCACUUGAAACUUUGAUGAUUUUGUAAUCUUUCUCAGGGAAAAAUUAAUAACCCUAACCGAUUUCUAAAGAAUAUUUAUACUGUUGUACACAGUAAAGAUUUUCCAAAAUCUACUUUUGAAAUCUAAUCUCGAAUUUUGUAAUUCUUCAUAGAAUUAAAAUUAAUAACCCUGACUGAUUCAAAAGAAUAAAUACUGUUGCACACAGUAAAGAAUUUUCAAAAUCUACUUUUGAAAUCUAAUCUCGAAUUUUGUAAUUCUUCAUAGAAUUAAAAUUAAUAACCCUGACUGAUUCAAAAGAAUAUAUACUGUUGCACACAGUAAAGAAUUUUCAAAAUCUACUGAUAAUCGACAGAAAAAAUAUUAUCUAAAACCUAUGUAUAACUAACUAGACACGAAACAGACAAAAUGUACUUUUCAGCAUACAGCACAUGUAUUUUUCGACAUCAAAACCGAUACAUGCACUUCAACUCUUCAAUGACAUCCAACACACAUUCUUAAACAGAAUGGCUAAGAAAUGACAACAAAAUUAACGGAAACAUGCACAGAUGUAUUGGAAAAUAAUUGAAAUAUCAUUGAUUUUUGAAUGUUAUUGCUUAUGAUUACAAAAUUAUUGGAAAUGGAGAAAAUACUUGAUAGUAAUUGAAUUAAUAUUGGAUUAAAUACGAUUAAUGUGAAUUAUAGAGGUUUUGUGACACUGCCAAUCCAGGAUCCUGGUCAUAGGCAAAGCGGAAGGUUAGUUAUACUGUAUAAUUGAAAAUUUAUCAUUCUCCUUUUGUCAUUGUCCUAUUGGACAAUUCAAUGGUAUUUAAUUGACAGAGAUACAUAGAAAAUUCCAAAUUUUGUUUAGAAUUUGGAGCAAUUGGAAUAUGCAUUUUCUAUAAAGACGAAUGAUACGUAUUUGACUUGGGCGUUUUAUAGUGAUUUUCAAAGACAGGAGGUGCUUUAGGAAAAUUCAUACUCCUUACAUGAGUUAAAUGUUUUUCAAUGACAAAAACUGUAUCUCAUAUUAAAAUAGAACAUGUUUACUAUAUCAAACCUAUUACAUGAAAUGUGGUCACCAUGUACCAUGCACAUGCAAAAUCAUGUUCAUUCCACAACGGUCCCCAGUUUUGCAGUGUGAUUCAAAUUGAAGAAAGCUCAAUAAGUUUGAAACAAACGUAAACAUUAACAUUGAUGGAUAUUAAAAUUGAAAAAAUAUAUAUAAGUUUAUAACAAACGUAAAAUUAUUGAAUUCUUCAAAGAAUGUUAUGAAAGUUUGGUACAAAAGUAUUCAAUUGAUAUAUGUAUUUGAAAUUAUAUUCAAAUUUGAAACAGAUAUAAAAUUUCAAAACCAAUUUCAGGUAUUAUAUUGAUAGAAAGUGAAGUUUUAUAAAGUGUAGAAUAGUUGUUGAAGAUUAUACUUUAAUUAGAAUUCAAUAUCCCACUCCAAUAAUGUAAAACACUUCACCAGAAGAAAUUCAAGAUUGUAGUUUACGUCUGAAGUUAUAAUAGAUGUUUUUUUUAUAUAUUUUUAAAACAUGCUACUUUGCACCACAAAUCUCUCUAGUGGCUGACUCACCGAUGACACCUCAUAUAUUACUUUUAUUUUAUAUCCUUCCUCCAAACCCAACGCUUUCCUUUCAUUAUUGGUUAAAAUUUUCAUUAGAUUCAUUACUUGUUUUGUAUUUUUAAUAUUUUUAUAUGAAGCUAUUGAGAAAGAAUUGAUACAUCUUCCAUGAACAAAAGCCAGAAAUUGGAAUGAAGACAUGGGUAAGUAUCUACUAUUUCACAAAUUCGCUUCCAGAUUCGAUUUUUUUUCUCAUUGACAGCAGCUAUCGAACUAGAAGUACGGUAGCUAAGGUGAGGCACGGGUGCUGAGUAUUCACUACAACUUCAUAAACUUGACAAAUGAAUAGAUGCUGAUUAUUUAUUUAUUUUUGAACAAAGACCGUUCAUUUAAAAAUAUAAAGUGGUUAGCUCACUUUGCUAGUAAUUGUAUUGAAAUGCGUUCUUACGGUCAUAGUUCAAUACUAAUGAAUAUCAAAUAAAUGGAAUAAGAAGAGAUCAUGUGAACAACCAGCUAUAUGCUAAUGUUUGAAAUACAUGGUUGCUAUAUGCAACCAGUUAAUGUAUUAUACAUAAAACAUUGUAAUAUAAUACAUUGUAGAUUACAAUUUAUGUUUCUAUAUUAUAUGUGUUAAUUUGAAUAAAUAGAACAAGUGAAUUGAUCUUGGUAAAUACAAUAAGGUUGAUAAUAUACUAAAAUAGAUUAAUAAUAAAAUUGUAUAAACUUAUUAAAUUCAUUAACAGAUUAAUUGAACUUAUUCUAUGAGACAAACUGUAUCAAUUAAAAUGUACAAAAAGUACCUUUUCCUACAGUUACGUUGAAAAGUGGCCAUUGCUGCACUGAUUACAGAACGCAAAGAAU
This is a long non-coding RNA of Nilaparvata lugens (brown planthopper), 3459 nucleotides long. RefSeq lists it as uncharacterized. The transcript is spliced from 3 exons. The record is from RefSeq and is a predicted model, not a curated record. Lineage: Eukaryota; Metazoa; Arthropoda; Insecta; Hemiptera; Delphacidae.